AAGUCAGUCAUGGCCAGCCUUAUUGACGCUCUGUCAGAGGUUGGGCAGCAGGCCAAGAGUUUUACAGCCAUGCUUUUAUUUGCCUCUCAUGGGCACCCUGGAAAUAAGCUACAGAUUUCUUAUCUCUGUUUUCUAGUGAGAAGACUGAACCCAAGAUGGCAAACUAGUUUGCUCCGGCUCAAUCAACGGGGGCAUGAACCUGCUUCUCUUGCCUUUGUGAACAUCAAAGCCUUACACAGAAAAUACUCAAGAAAUAACCCCUGAUCAGUCACUUCAAGAUGACACCAUGACUGAAGCUAGCAGGCUUUCCAUAGGAGACAGAUUUGGUGUUUUUCUUUGCUGGCUCCAUUAGAGGACAUGUGAUGUCUAUAGUUAACCCAUAGAGCAAAUCUCUGACUACUGACCCACCACAGAGCAGUGAUUCCAACCGCAGUUAUCUCUCCCUGGUAUUUCCUAGGCCUGGGCAUUCCGUUUGCCUGUUCUACACACUAGUAGCAGGCUGCAAAGUUCCACUUGCCCUCUUAAAACUUCCAUGCCUUUGGAAAAUCUCUUUCCUCUUGGGGUGUCUGACUUCUUCCUUCCUAAAGGGAGCAGUGGUGACAUCUGAAUUUCUCCCAAACAAGUCUCGACUGAAAGGAUGGUCUGAGGAUGCCUAUCAGGCCAUGCAGAGGGACAAGUUUUGCUAUUAGAUUCUACUGUGUCUAAGCCUGUCUUGGUGCAUAGAACAUUGCCAUUUAUGUGCCAAAAAGAGUCGAUACAGACCAUGGCCAAUGCUAUAGGAAGCAGGAGGUGAUGGGGCACAGAGCGACAGGCAAGCUAAUUUUAUUGUGUGAUGAGCUGGGCAUCUGUGACCCCUUUUUUAAGCCUUUUUUUUAAGUUAUAAAUAUAACAUCCUUUUAAUGCUAUUUUGAGAUCUCUAAUUAUUUAAAAUAUUAAGUAUCAUGACUCCAAUAUGACUCUCUGUUUGCCCUCUUCGGUCAUAAGCUAUUUUAUUUCCAGAUAAGAUUAUAUUAAAAGCUAACAUUUAUGUUAAGACGUGUUGUGUGCCCUGUGCUAAAUGCCUUACAAAGAUUAUCUUGAUAUAUGGUGACUCUAUCAGAGGGCUGCAGAACCUAACUCCAAAUCCCAGUCGGUUCUAAAGCCACCCUUCACCUUCCCACAACCCAGACAAAGCUCUGCAAGACCUCACUCCACCUUGGGUGGGAAGCAGCUGAGGGCCAUCAUCUCUGGGACAGGACUGAGGUCAUUUCUAUCCUCUUGAAAGCCCAACUCCCUUCUGAGGAAUCAGCCUCCACCCAGCCUGAUGCCUAAAACUCUUUCUAGAAAGCCUCAAAACUGCUCCAAAUAAAGACAUCCAUUAUGUUUCUUUGUAUGUGCUC
Molecule: long non-coding RNA, 1379 nt
Filed under: Mus spicilegus (steppe mouse)
Lineage: Eukaryota; Metazoa; Chordata; Mammalia; Rodentia; Muridae
Description: lncRNA (ENSMSIG00000016971.1)
Source: RNAcentral